This is a small nuclear RNA of Heterocephalus glaber (naked mole-rat), 107 nucleotides long. The record is from Ensembl. Lineage: Eukaryota; Metazoa; Chordata; Mammalia; Rodentia; Bathyergidae.
GGAGAAAUCUAGUGCUCGCCAUAUACUAAACUGGAAUGAUACAGAGAAAAUUAACAUGGUCCCUGCACAAGAAUGACAUGCAAAUUCAUGAAGUGUUCUAUUUUUUU